This 416-nucleotide long non-coding RNA is filed under the name Daucus carota (carrot). RNAcentral's name for it is "long non-coding RNA (DCAR_LNC006573)". Lineage: Eukaryota; Viridiplantae; Streptophyta; Magnoliopsida; Apiales; Apiaceae. The record is from RNAcentral.
CACACACACAUAUUAGAUUGUCUUCACAAUUUUUUUACUAUAAGAAUUAAAAUUAUACUUUAUUUCUAGCUAAAUGAAAUAAAAUAUAUAUUGAAUUUUUAUCACUCCAUUUUUACUUUGUAACAGACUCUGUUGUUAAAGACAGUGAACCGGCCGUGUCAGAAUCUACAUGCGUAUCUACUAUUGUGUUUGGUGCUUCUGGUGAUCUUGCAAAAGUGAUCUUGAAAAGAAGACUCUCCCCGCACUCUUGCACAUGUCAUUGUAGUUUGUUGCUCUGGUUGGGUUGUGUUGAUGGUUUUAUGUCAUUAUAGAAUUAGCCUUCCUUGUUUUGAUACUGGACAUGUAUUAUAUUAGAAUGAUAUUUUAUUUCAAUUUUGUUUCAUUUUAUAUAAUAGUGGAAUCAAUAAAAAGAGUGG